This 465-nucleotide ribosomal RNA is filed under the name Vreelandella stevensii. RNAcentral's name for it is "partial 16S ribosomal RNA". It matches the Rfam family "Bacterial small subunit ribosomal RNA", at positions 338 to 795 of the family's 1533-position model. Lineage: Bacteria; Pseudomonadati; Pseudomonadota; Gammaproteobacteria; Oceanospirillales; Halomonadaceae. The record is from RNAcentral.
CCUACGGGAGGCAGCAGUGGGGAAUAUUGGACAAUGGGGGGAACCCUGAUCCAGCCAUGCCGCGUGUGUGAAGAAGGCCCUCGGGUUGUAAAGCACUUUCAGUGAGGAAGAACGCCUGGUGGUUAAUACCCAUCAGGAAAGACAUCACUCACAGAAGAAGCACCGGCUAACUCCGUGCCAGCAGCCGCGGUAAUACAGAGGGUGCGAGCGUUAAUCGGAAUUACUGGGCGUAAAGCGCGCGUAGGUGGCUUGAUAAGCCGGUUGUGAAAGCCCCGGGCUCAACCUGGGAACGGCAUCCGGAACUGUCAAGCUAGAGUGCAGGAGAGGAAGGUAGAAUUCCCGGUGUAGCGGUGAAAUGCGUAGAGAUCGGGAGGAAUACCAGUGGCGAAGGCGGCCUUCUGGACUGACACUGACACUGAGGUGCGAAAGCGUGGGUAGCAAACAGGAUUAGAUACCCCUGUAGUC